AAGGUCGGUCGGGCGGUCGCUCCGCGUCGUGUCAUGCGACGCGGGGAGGAAAGUCCGAGCAGGACAGCGGGCCGCCAGGCGCGAACAAACGCGUUUGGAGACCCCAGGGCACGGUGGUGGCUAACGACCACCGGGAGCAAUCCCAGGGAUAGUGCCACAGAAAACACACAGCCGACGGCCCGGCGUCGCUGCACGCAGCGCCGGCGGGAUCGGGCAAUGGUGAAAAGGUGCGGUAAGAGCGCACCGCGGCGGCGGCGACGUCGCCGGCAGGGAAAACCCCACCGCCUGCAAGACCAAGCAGCCGGUAGGCGACGACGGACUCCUCGGGCCUCGCGUCCGAAGGGUCCCGAGCCAUACUCGGCCCGGGUAUGUGCGGCUUGGGCCGCAUGACCGGCGGGUAGGUCGCAUUCCGCACCCUCGCGGCGAGAGAUCGCCGCGGGGCGGAAGAGCCAGUCGGCAACGGCUGGUCCAGAUAAAUGAUCGCCGCCCGCCAUUCGGCGGGGACAGAACUCGGCUUACAGACCGGCCUUGGGA
This 534-nucleotide RNase P RNA is filed under the name Planctomycetota bacterium. Its description in RNAcentral is "Planctomycetes bacterium (anaerobic digester metagenome) RNase P RNA component class A". It matches the Rfam family "Bacterial RNase P class A". From Rfam's summary of the family: Ribonuclease P (RNase P) is a ubiquitous endoribonuclease, found in archaea, bacteria and eukarya as well as chloroplasts and mitochondria. Its best characterised activity is the generation of mature 5'-ends of tRNAs by cleaving the 5'-leader elements of precursor-tRNAs. The record is from RNAcentral. Lineage: Bacteria; Pseudomonadati; Planctomycetota.